RNAcentral lists this ribosomal RNA (253 nucleotides) under uncultured bacterium. Its description in RNAcentral is "partial 16S ribosomal RNA". It matches the Rfam family "Bacterial small subunit ribosomal RNA", at positions 524 to 776 of the family's 1533-position model. The record is from RNAcentral.
UACAGAGGGUGCGAGCGUUAAUCGGAAUUACUGGGCGUAAAGCGCACGUAGGUGGUUUAGUAAGUCGGAUGUGAAAUCCCCGGGCUUAACCUGGGAACUGCAUUCGAAACUGCUUUACUAGAGUAUGGGAGAGGACAGUGGAAUUUCAGGUGUAGCGGUGAAAUGCGUAGAUAUCUGAAGGAACAUCAGUGGCGAAAGCGACUGUCUGGACUAAUACUGACGCUCAUGUGCGAAAGCGUGGGGAGCAAACAGG